Molecule: ribosomal RNA, 187 nt
Filed under: uncultured bacterium
Lineage: Bacteria
Description: partial 16S ribosomal RNA
Rfam family: Bacterial small subunit ribosomal RNA
Source: RNAcentral
CGCCUGCGUGAAGUUGGAAUUGCUAGUAAUCGCGGAUCAGCAUGCCGCGGUGAAUACGUUCCCGGGCCUUGUACACACCGCCGUCACACCAUGGGAGCCGGUAAUACCCGAAGUCAGUAGUCUAACCGCAAGGGGGGCGCUGCCGAAGGUAGGAUUGGCGACUGGGGUGAAGUCGUAACAAGGUACC